AGAAAUAGAGGAUUUGUCCAUCAAGAUCACAACCUUAACCUUCUCGGUCAUGCCUGGAAGCUUUACAAAGAAGAUAGGUCACACUAGAACUAAUUGAUGACCAGCUAGCUAAUUCUUGCGAUAUUUCCCAAGUUUUAAGAUCAAUCCAAGUGGGUUUAUUAUGUGUGCAAAAACGUCCAGAAGACAGACCAAGCAUGUUUGCUGUGGUUAAUAUGUUGGCUAAUGAGACCCUACUGCCAAAAGCAAAAGAACCUGGAUUUUUCACAGAACGAAACAUAUAUGAUGAAGAAAAAUCAGAAUUGUGGGGAGCCAGUUCAAAAAAUGAAGUGACAAUCUCAUUGUUAGAUCCUCGGUAGAGUGUGGCACACAUGAAUAGGAAAAAUAUAUUACAACUUUGAUUGUUGAGAAGUACAGUAGAUUUUGAACUAAAACAUCAAGUUGACUAUAUAAUUCAGAUUUUAUUUCGAAAAGUGUAAUUAUUUUGACGCCAAUAACCUGCAUUCACCUUUAAAAUUAGCUUACUCAUUCUUUUACUAUACAUAAAUAUUCAAAGAAAGAUCCAUAUUUUAUUUGAAUUGCACAAAAACCCAUGCACUCCCCAUUCAAAACCAACCUAACAUACAUUUGAAGUUUGAAUCAUUCAAAAUACAGACAAGUCCUUAAAGGGUGAGACCACUCUAAUCAAAGAUAAACAUAUAUAACUGAUACCUCUAAACAAUCCUCCUUUUUUCUUUUUACCUUUCUGAAGAACAGAUAAGCAGCAACAACAACAACAACACAGGUCAGUGUAUUCCCGCAAAGUUGGAUCCGAUGAGGGUAAGGAAUCUAUUCCGAAUAGACCCCUGCUCAAGACAAAAACAGUGGUAAUAGACCGAAGAACAGAUAAGAAAAGCCAGAAAGUAGUAUCAAAAGAAUUGGAUCAGAUUCUCUUUUUCUUCUUAUAAAAAAUACUCCUAGUACUACUUAUUACCAUUUUCUAUGGUCUCAGCUGACAACUUUGAGGGUGCCCGUCUAAACACCUAAUCUUGAUCUCAACUAACUAUUAAGUAUUUCAAC
This is a long non-coding RNA of Capsicum annuum, 1056 nucleotides long. RefSeq lists it as uncharacterized. The record is from RefSeq and is a predicted model, not a curated record. Lineage: Eukaryota; Viridiplantae; Streptophyta; Magnoliopsida; Solanales; Solanaceae. The transcript is spliced from 2 exons.